UUAUUUGAGAAUUCGUCGUCUGUUGUAAAGAGUGUUGAAAGCUUGAAACAAUUUUUGAAGUUAGCAGGCCGUGGCCUUGUUCUACAUUGUUCUGCUUUUUGUUGCAUUACGGGACGAUGCAAGAUGAAGGUGCAACCACAGUGCAACGGUAUUUAAUUUCUCAGAAACUACGAAUCACACCUAAAGCAAUUUUCGUUGUUUUAGUCGCCUGGCUAGGCAGGUUUCAAACACUGUGUAGUGUGUACCUUCUGGGCUUUGUGACAUAAUCAUGUCAAAAUGUUUUCGUUAAAGUAAGACAAGAGGAAAUAAUAUAGAUUCAGAGUCAUGAAUUGGUUUACCAAAUUUUGGACCGUUUUAUUUUAAAAAGUCAUGAUAAUGUUAACAAAUUUCAGUGUCACUAUUUGUGGAAUCUGUCUGAAUUCAGAUACUGAUGUACCAGUCUUACUGCUGAUCAUCGUGAUACAUAUGUGUGUGCUGUCAAAGCAAAAAAAUAUUUUUAAAAAGUCCCCAACAAGUGUCCAUACAGGACACACCACAUUACAACAGCACUGGUAAAUCUUUUAGCAAGUCCUAGUGACAUAGUUGGUAUUUGCUUAAUCACCAGCAUAAGGUCAGUUCACACAUAAAUUAAUUUUAUUAUACCUGUUGAAUAAAAGUAAAGGUUUCAUGCUUGAAAGUAAUAUGAAAAUGAGAAUUUUUUUUACUUACAAUGGUAAUGGCAGCGGAUUGCAGAUCUGUGUAGAAUGUCCUGAAUCCAACGACCACGGUAGCCCUGUGGGAUGAUGCGAAAUCAUAAAUUAAAGAUAUUUUUCAAGACAAUAUCCUAUAAUAACUAACUUCAUUGCGACUUGUCCUUUGAAAUCUGCAGGUGGAGUCCACAAAAAUGUUUCGUUCUUUCUCCUCACUCGGCUUGAAUGGGUUACAGCGUUCUGUAAGUGAAAAAAGUAUGAAAAAUUAAAUAAUACCAGAAAUUAUUUUUGUUUGUUAACGUCUAGUAUCACAUACUGCAGUUCCUCCUGGACAGUCCAUUGUUUUGCCCUGACUACCUUCAGCACUGAAACUGCCAAUCCCCGUGGUGUUAGUGCCUGAUCGAGCUUGAAUCAUGUAGCCUCUAAAUUCGGCUUCACCAGUAGACUGAAGAGUUACUUUAAAGCCAAACAAAAUCGUAAUUAAUUCUUAAUAUCUAACAAGAUUCUUAACAACAAGCAAGAAAGAGAGCAAUGUAACAAGUUUUUAACAAUCUAAAUUGUUUUACCUGUUAUAGGAGAAACUGAAUUGGCUUGUGCACUGCUAAUUGACAAAGUAAAAGGAACUGUAUCUUGUUGUGCACCAAAAAGCAUGUGAAUGGGUGCCAUUGAUGCGCAUGCACUACGAGGAGCACCACCGGGAAAUGCAGCUACCUGAGCCGUAACUAACGCACUCACAAUUACGAGGUAAGCGUUCAACAUUCUAUUAAAAAAAAUAAUAAUUGGUAUUAAAAAUGAUUGCUGAGGUUCUCUCAAUGUAUUUCAAUGCCCACCGAAUAGUUAAAUUCUUACCUUUGUUAAGUGUGAUGCAAAUUUUUUGAAGGUUUAAGAAACACGGACAGUGUAAUGGCUACUCGCCGCUGUUUUUGUGGUCGUGUGCGUAGUGGUGAGAGAUCGGGAACUGAGAGCAAAAGCUGAAGCACGGCGGGCUUUUAUUUAUCGCCCACCGGCAGCUAUCAAGGUGCUUCCACAACUUAUACGCCCUUUGGGGCUAGUCACUGGUAUAAAACCGGCAAUAAUGUGUACGGGGGGUUGGGGGAGGGGAGGCCGGCAUCACUAGACAAAAAGGUGAAGGGAACGUGUUAAAGGAUGAGAGAAAGAGAGAGAGAAACAGACAGAGAGAAGCUCUUAAUCAUGGGGCUUAUUUACUAUUCUGAGCAAAUCCACUAACACGUAUGAAAAUAAGCAAACGGUAAAACCAGCACACCAUUACCUUGACAAAUAAAACAACUCCUGGAGCAAUGGCCUUAAAAUUUUACGGUCGUUCACGUGCAAGGAAAUCAGAAUAUCACAUAAAAUCCUUCACUUUCCUUAGCCGCUCCGACACAAGCGCUCAUGUAAUAAUUGAGCUCGUGGUAGUCGUCAAUAGUAUCAAAAUCACCAACACUAUCAUUUUUCCCCUUGCAUUUUCGUCGUUGCUUUUGGGACUGAACAGGCGAGAGCGUUGGGGUCGUUAGAAAAAAAUAAAUAAAAGAACCGGUUGGUCAACCAAUAGACGACGACUUUAACCUCAUUUCCCUUUCACUUGAGACGGGGUCUCUGAAUAAAUUAUUACGUCCUCCGGCCGAAGCUAAAGUAAAAUUUCUCGUAGCGCUGUCUUAUUUUGUUUGCUUAUUAUUUAUUGAUUACAUUUUCCAGACAAAAGAAGAGAAAUUGAGAGAGUUGAACGGCACGUUUAAGUCCAGCUUUAGGUAUUAGCAGAGGUAGCCACCAAUCGCGAUGACAGACGGAAAAAAAAUGAAAGAAAUGACACCUGGCUGACUUCAAGUUCAAUAGCUUUACAGCAUUUACAUGGCAUGAUAUAUACCAUCAAAUCUCCUCCUUUAAGCUGCUGUCAUUGAAGUAAAUGGAAAUUCGGCAUAUCCGUGCGGAAGUUGAAUACCAGGAAGAGAGUAAUGAAAAUAUUAAAGAAACGCCAAGAUUAUCAAAUGACCUUGGACAGCGUUGCAGAGUGUUUCUUUUUUGAGGCCCACUUUCUCAUCGUCACGACUGUGGAAAAAAAACGGAGGUACUGCUCAAGGUUUUCACUGAAUUCUGCUGAUAUUCCUUUUACUAUGAAACUUUGGAUUUACUGGUUUUCCCCUGCAACAAUCGUCAAGAUGACCUUCUUUGAUUCGUUCGUCACAUCGGUCAUCCCCCUUUUUUCUUUUUGCCUGCUAUCCAUAUGCAAAAACUAUUUGAUGUCCCCAAUUCGAAGAAGCAAGUAAGUAAAAUGGCUAGUAGAAAGUUUGUCAUUGUAUAUCUCUAUGUUGCACGCACAUGCUCACCUUAAAAGACUUUCACUCGGUGUUGGAUGAUUCUUGUUUGCCUAUGAAUUGAUUAACGCUUGCAGGGCUGUAACAAUGUUCGGUGACAAUAGCCAGUAAAUUUUUUUCAGUUAAUGGUAAAAGUAUUUUGGCUGGUAUUCACAUUUGCAUUUGCAUUGAACAUCAUAGUGGCGCUACAUUAUGUAUUGAAAAGAUUUACUUUGAGUAUGGCUUUUUACUACCAUGUGCACCGCCAAAUUUCUUGGAUAAAACUUCCGUCUUGACCUUUCUCGUAUUAUUACUGGCCACUUGCUUAACUUCUCCUGGCAUCCACACGUUAAUAAUCCCGUCUUCGCCACCUGAUACAACUUGUCCGCUAACUUGAUUAAACGCGGCGCCACGAAUCGUUUGCGAAUUUCCGCCUUUCUCAUCGAACAGAAUAGCAAACGGUUCCAGUACACCUUCACUCAUUUUUAACAUUCUGAGGCAUCCCCUGUUAAGAAAAUAGGUUGACGGUAAGAAUUUUCCAUAUAAUGUAAUGGCAUAAUGCAUUCUACCUGUUUGGCGUAUUUGAACCUGCAAGUAACAAAGGAUCUUGCCCUUCUCCCCUUUGAAAACAUCGAAUGGCGAAACAUGUCUCAGAUUUCUUUCUCUUUUAAAAGUAAAAAAUAAAUAAAAAUAAAAAAUAAGCCAUGAUUUAUAUCAAUAAAAAUUUCAUUUGGGUUUAUACCCUGAGCGCAUCUGCUAUUUUUUCUCGCGAAAAGAUAUGUUUCGGUGAUGCUUCUUCAACGUCCCAGAUUUGAACAUUUUCUGUACUGGUAGUGACUGAUAUGCUCUCUUGUUUUGUCUUCAUAUCAUAUCCAAGCCACUGUAAUCUCCCACAUGUUGUUUCUGUAUUCAAACUAAACUUGUGAAUAAAUUAAAAAGUUAA
Molecule: long non-coding RNA, 3923 nt
Organism: Daphnia magna
Lineage: Eukaryota; Metazoa; Arthropoda; Branchiopoda; Diplostraca; Daphniidae
Exons: 3
Source: RefSeq, a predicted model, not a curated record